Molecule: ribosomal RNA, 751 nt
Filed under: Actinomycetes bacterium
Lineage: Bacteria; Bacillati; Actinomycetota; Actinomycetes
Description: bacterial SSU rRNA
Rfam family: Bacterial small subunit ribosomal RNA
Source: RNAcentral
ACGAGCGGCGAACGGGUGAGUAACACGUGGGUGAUCUGCCUCGUACUUCGGGAUAAGCCUGGGAAACUGGGUCUAAUACCGGAUAUGACCUUCGGAUGCAUGUCCGUGGGUGGAAAGAUUUAUCGGUACGAGAUGGGCCCGCGGCCUAUCAGCUUGUUGGUGGGGUAAUGGCCUACCAAGGCGACGACGGGUAGCCGGCCUGAGAGGGCGACCGGCCACACUGGGACUGAGACACGGCCCAGACUCCUACGGGAGGCAGCAGUGGGGAAUAUUGCACAAUGGGCGGAAGCCUGAUGCAGCGACGCCGCGUGAGGGAUGACGGCCUUCGGGUUGUAAACCUCUUUCGACAGGGACGAAGCGCAAGUGACGGUACCUGUAGAAGAAGCACCGGCCAACUACGUGCCAGCAGCCGCGGUAAUACGUAGGGUGCGAGCGUUGUCCGGAAUUACUGGGCGUAAAGAGCUUGUAGGCGGUUCGUCGCGUCGUUCGUGAAAACUUGGGGCUCAACCCCAAGCUUGCGGGCGAUACGGGCGGACUAGAGUACUUCAGGGGAGACUGGAAUUCCUGGUGUAGCGGUGAAAUGCGCAGAUAUCAGGAGGAACACCGGUGGCGAAGGCGGGUCUCUGGGAAGUAACUGACGCUGAGAAGCGAAAGCGUGGGUAGCGAACAGGAUUAGAUACCCUGGUAGUCCACGCCGUAAACGGUGGGUACUAGGUGUGGGUUUCCUUCCACGGGAUCCGUGCCGUAGCUA